AGUGAACGCUGGCGGUAGGCCUAAUACAUGCAAGUCGAACGGCCGCACAGUAAGCGCUUGCUCUUACGGGUGGCGAGUGGCGGACGGGUGAGGAAUACAUCGGCAUCUACUUUUUCGUGGGGGAUAACGUAGGGCCACUUACGCUAAUACCGCAUACGACCUACGGCUGAAAGCAGUGGAUCUUCGGACCUUGCGCGAUUCAAUGAGACGAGGUCGGAUUGGCUAGUUGGCGGGGUAAAGGCCCACCAGGGCGACGCUCCGUAGCUGGUCUGAGAGGUUGGUGGGCCACACGGGAACUAGGACAGGUCCAGGACCCUUAGGGAGGGAAGCGUUGGGAAAUAUUGGCAAAUGGGGGCAAGCUUGAUCCAGCCAGACCGGGUGGGUGAAGAAGGCCUUCGGGUGGAAAAGCCCUUUUGUUGGGAAAGACAAGCGGCAGGGUAAUACCGCGCUGUUCGGACGGUACCCAUAGGAUAAGCACCGGCUAACUUCGU
RNAcentral lists this ribosomal RNA (491 nucleotides) under uncultured bacterium. RNAcentral describes it as "partial 16S ribosomal RNA". It matches the Rfam family "Bacterial small subunit ribosomal RNA", at positions 29 to 506 of the family's 1533-position model. The record is from RNAcentral.